Long non-coding RNA from Egretta garzetta (little egret), 7250 nucleotides. RefSeq lists it as uncharacterized. The record is from RefSeq and is a predicted model, not a curated record. Lineage: Eukaryota; Metazoa; Chordata; Aves; Pelecaniformes; Ardeidae. The transcript is spliced from 3 exons.
GCACGAAUCGGAAUCUUCUCAGAGAGGAAGCAGGGAACUGGCCUGAAUGUCAAGUUAUGUCUAGUUUUAUGUGGAAACUUUCCAUAAAUGCCAAGAAGCAAAAUACGGGGAAAUAAAGACCAUAGGUAAAGGCCUACCAUUUCCAACACUACCAAACCCUUUCUUCUUUGAGACCAAAUAAAAAUCAGACUUCUAAUCCAUAAUCACAGAAAAUUUGCACUUUCUAAAAUCUAAACACAGCAAAGAAUAACGUGGAACAGUGAAUAUUUUUCAUGUUUACAGAAGCCUAAGAAUUUCACUGUAAGCCUUCAAAAGAAAUACUGUACUUCUAGCGGAUUGAUCUGAACCGUCCUCCUUGAUGAUAUUAAUUCUGUGUAGCAGUUGAAUACUCAACUGGCUCUUGGGACAGUACUUUUGUCCCUGUUUCUUUCAUCAGGUGCCAGCUGAUAUCAAAAUUUUGCAUGUUAUUAAGUAAGCUUUUUAUGUUGAUGGAAAUAUUGUGCAAAACAGAACAAGACUCAUUGUCUUUUUCUGUACAGAUUAUCCUACCUCCUGUGAUAAUACCAGAUUUUUCAAAAUGCACCGUGUGCUUCAGAAAGUUCUACUCAGACAUCAAUCUUUAACUUGUUAAGUCUCACUAUUAACUCUUACUAGUCUUUCAGCAGUUCAUGUGAGUUUAUGAAGUGUCCUAAAACAGGGAAACAGGGGUGCUCUUUGAUUGUAUUAUUUUGAUAUUGAACCAGGAUAGGUCCCUAAUAUUGUAAGCGAAGAUUUUACAAGAAUAAGUUGAUUUUCCUGUGGGUUUUACUAUAAUACUGAAAAGUUGUGCGAUUGUCCUUGCUUGUCAUUCAUUUCAGACUGAAGGUAUCCUAAAGUGUAAUCCCUGUUUUGGUUUUACUGUUUGCUUGGGAUUUUGUCGAGGUUUUUUUGGGGGGGGGGUUGUUUUGUUUUUUUUUUUUUUUAAAACAUGGAUUGUUCUGAUUGUAUAAUGCUGGCUUUGAACUGAUAUACACACACCUUGGCAAGCAUCCUUUGCAUUUCCUUCCUCUUCUGUGGCUAACUGCUGGCAGUGUCAUUAAAGGAGAUCAUUUGGGUUUUGAGCAAAGAAACAGAGGCAAGCCUCUGUUAUAGAAAGAUGUUCCUUUCAGAAUAAGACUUGAAUAUUUUAGGCAAACUCAAAAAAGACAGGAGGCAAUUACUGACACUUGGGAGGUUUCUCACUCCUGAGAAUUUUGAUAGUGUUUAAAACUGUUUUCAUCAGGCCUGAGCACAUUCUUGUUCUCCACACAAUAUAAUAGAACUCACUGCUAGAACAGAUUAGGUUCCCUUAUCUGUUUCAUCUUGUUGUCAUGUCAUAUGUCCUUCAUUUAUACCACUCAAACAAUUGGACUUUUACCUUUUUUUUUUUUGUUCUCCACACAAAUGAUUCACAUUUUAAUUUAGUUUCCAAACUCAGCGUCUCCACUGCUUGUCACUUCCAUGCAAUUCUAACAUUAGUUUGAUUAAGUCUUUGUCAGGAGACUAAAAUACCUUUCAACAACUUCAUCUAUUUGCUAAAAGGUCCAGACAUAGUUACAGGUACAUCCAGACUAACAGAGCUUCUCACUGUGCAGCCCUGGCUUUGGGGUUGUAGCCUGAUAAUGGGCAACAGAGCAAGGAGGGAAACAAAGGGGGGAUUAUUCAAACAUUGUGGAAAAGGUGAGGGGAAAUUGGUUUUGUGUUCUCCCCAUCCCACAUGAAAGUUUAUAGAGGACAAAUGAUACAGCCACAGAUAGCUGUAGAGAAUCAAGGACCGAAAUCUUUGGUGCAAAGGCAUUUCUACCAUACAAAUCAUUCCUUCAGGCUACAUCUGCCUCCUAACAAAUGUCAUUACAUAUAAUGACAUGCUUUUUUAUGUAACGCUCAAGCUUUGGUUUCAGUGCAACCUCUUACAUUUGGAUGGUAAGAUCUGGACUCUCCCUGCUGUUGGAGAUGGGCAUUAUAUCCCCCUUAUCCCAUUUACUUUGAAACAUCCAGAGUUUUGUAAAGAACUAUUGUAACUUGGGUGCUGAACUCUGCUUCUGCACACCACAGUAUAGCGAGUGUCAGUGGUGACUGAGGAAGCCGCUUGCGAGAAGCCAGAGUUUUCAAUUGUCAUUUCACUGUGAGCUAGCAUUAGCACAAGUUCCUUGUUCUGCAUUUCAACUAGCCACUGGGGUGCGUUCAGUGUAAAAUGGUGAGCAUCUUUCCUUUAAUUGCUAUCUGACAUCUAAAUGUUGUUCUUGACAGUGUUAAUUGAAUUAGUAGGCUUGCAAUUUAGCAAUAUGCUACAGACUUUCUGUUCAUUUUUUUAGAAGUGGAAACAGGCAGGUUUUUAAACCUUAGAAUUGGUGAUCAGGUUUGUCUCUUAACAGUAAUUGAGGUUUAGUCCAACUGACAAUUAUUUGCCCUAAAUUAUGUGGAAGUCAGAACCUCAGUCCUCAGUAACACCUAAGCUAUUGAACUCCUACUGAACACAUCUUAAGUUUGUUGCCCAAAUGUUUUUGAGAUGAGAGCCCAAAUUACAACUUCAUGCUCAUCCACCCAAUUCAAAAUUCUUGUAUGUCACAUGUCCACAAAGAUAGCGAGGACUGAGAGGAUGUUCUGUCAAAAGAUGGCCUGGUCUAUUGACAGUGUUCACCCAAUACUGUCCCUCUCAUCCUCCUCUGUUGAGGAAGGGCAUCGUACUUCAGACCCAGGUCUCUGGGUGGUCUCUGUCCAAGUGUAAUACAGUCACCAAACUAUUUGUGUGGAUCAGUUCUGAAGUGUGGUUUAAAUAAGUUACCUCACUGUGAGGAACAUCUGCCUUAGAGGUUUUGCAGUGUGCUGAAGUCUUGCUUACACAUGAAAUGUUUAGCAGAUUGGUUGCUUUUUAAUGUGUUCAUUGGUUUCAAUGCUGAUGUCUUCUUUGAAUUGGGUUCUCUCUUCCAUAAGAGAGACUAAAAGUAUUAGCUAUUAAAAGCAUGUUUCUGCCAUGGUACUGAUUUCUCAGGAGCUCUUUGAAGUUGGAAAAAAAUUAUUAAGCUAAGCUUACAGCUAAGUGCAGAAGUAGAAAACUAUAAUCAUAGAUAAAUAAGGGACUGGAAUGUCAUGGGCACCAGUGCUUUCACCUGUACUCUGCUUUUCAUUUAGGAGGUGAUUACAAGAACACUGAAUGUAACUUCAUGCAGACACCAGUUCCAAGACAGAGAUGCAGAUAUUUGGUUUUGUACUUGGCUGGGAUUUCAGUAGGAGGAUGAAGGGGCCCUUCCUGUUUGCCCUCUACUCUUUGCUUACUGGAAUGAUGCGAGUUUAUAAAAAGAUCUUAUCAUUGCUGUUAAUAGUACAUUGAGAAGAGGAUUUCAAUUUUUGUGCUCCCCAUCACCAGUGACAGUGGAGAAAGCAGAAUGGAGGUGCAGGCAGCCCUCCACCUCCUCUGUGCACCAUACCAAGCUAUGCCACUGCAUGAAUCGGAGCCCACCUAGGAGGAGAGGAUGAGUUAUUCAGCCAGGGAGUAGAGUCCUAUGCAAACUUGUGCGUAUGGAAGUUUCCAGAGUCACAGAAAGACACUAGAUACUUCAGUAGCAACGAGUGAAGUUCCUGAGCCCACAUCUAUUCUGCAGGCUGCACUGACCUCGCCAGUGCGUUUAGUACCCUGGAGAAGUGAUGCAAUGUUUAUUGUAUCACUCAACAUUUUUUCAUGUGACCAGCACAUACAGUUGCAUACUGUUUCUUCACUAGAGGGAGUCUAAGACAAGGAUUACAGAGCACUUCUAACAGCUAAUUAAGAAGCAGUGGUGGCAUAAUAAAAUAGGAUGUUGAAAACUGGAUGAUCCCUCAAAAGCCAAACAACAGCUGCCACGUCUCAAAAGGGCUGUUGUGGGUUUGGUUUUUUUUUUCCUUUUUCUUUUACAAGAAUGCAUUUCCUACAUUAUGCUGUUUUCUUUUGGAAGACACCCCGAUAGUGCAAAUGAGCACUAAGCUAAUGAUGCUCUUUCUCUGUACCAUGCUUGAUCUCCGAGUACAGUGCACCACAACUGGAUAACAAUACGCGAAUCACUUGGUAUUUAAAAACCCAACUUAUUGACCAGGAAAAGAUACUGUUUACAUUUAUAGCUGGAAGCCACAGUCCUCCUAGAGUAGGAUCCUACAUGUUGUACAGUGAAACAAGAAAAGGCUGCUGCACUAUUUCUGCCAAACUUACAGCUGGAGUAAACAGGAUUAUACAGAUGACAGCUCAUUGUCACUCCUGAUGCUGCUCAAGGAACAGCUUCUUUGGAGGUAGUUCGUAAGUUGUUUUCUAUUAGCCUUUUUUCCCCAGGAAUUCUAAAGGUAAAAAUUGCAUAUAUCAGAGCCAGCUUAGGGAUGCCAGUUCAUCCAGUCUCUGAAGCUUCCAAGGAAGCACAAUCACCAGUGAAUAGCUAAGGAAACUGAUAGGAAUCAUGAUGUUAAAUAUGAGAACUUGGAUGAAGGAAUAGGGUGUUCUCAUUAAGGCAUGCAAAGUUUUUUAUCAGUUUCCCUGUAUCUCUAGUUUAAUUGUCUGUGUUCAAUGUUAUGCUGCUUACUACACAUAAAGCCAUGGCUCAUUUUCAGCUACAAUAGUUUGAUAAUUCUUAGUCUAAAUACCCUCUUUCUAGGCAUUUUAUAUUUAGCAAGGAAUAAGAAAAAUCAAGUGCUGUAAAUGUUCACUUAUUUGUGUUCACUAAGCAUUAUAAAAUUACCAAGAACUUAACAAAUCACAUAUGCUAUUCUUAGUCUAAAUAAGUAUCUGUAUUUUAAUUUUCUACUGUAUGUGCAAUACUCAGGCAAGAAAAAUAACCAGCCAGUCAUCUGCCCUGAUGGGUAGAUUUAGUUCAAUCUAACGGUAAUUACAGUAUCAUUGGAAUAGUCUUGAUUAAUUUAUCUAUUAAUUAUUUACAGCUCCCAAGUUGCAUUUUAGUUGGCCCAGCCUUUGGAUUAACAGAUGCCUGUCUUUUGGUUGGACCGGUUGCUUUCCUGUACAUUAAGCACUAUAAACCACGUAAGUGGUUUCAAAUGUCUAAAUUUCUCUUUUGACUGUAUUAUGAUUUCUACAUAGAAUAAAAUCAUUUGCAAGAACAGUUUUCAAAGUUUAACAGGAGGGAUGAGUGACUACAGCCAGCACUGUAAUACUCCUUACUGCUAUUGUGAUCUUUAGCCACUGCUCUUAAAACCAACGCUCCCAUGCUUUUGUUCACAUUUGCUAAAAAAGCAAUAUUUUCAUUUGGUAUUUUGGUGGCUGCAGGCAGGCUGGAGAUUGCUAAGCCAUCUGUGCUGUUACGUGGCACCGCAGACCUGUGCUGGCUGGAUUCAGGUUGGAUCCUACAGCUGUCUGACGGCCCGCACAGUACCAGCCUCAAUGAGGGCCAGGGAUCACCAGUUGGCAUCAUAUCCCCUUGAUCUCUGCCAGCUAAUACAUGCUUCGUCAUAGCUCAUCUUUCAGUCUAGACAUGUCCUAAAUGUUUCAGGUGUCCCUCAGGCUCCUCAGGACAAAGCAAGGGUUGCACCAGUGUUGCACCAAAUACGCAGAGAACAUUUUUUUAAAACUUACUUUAUAAAACAAAAAACAAGUUGCAAUGUAAUAGUUAUGAAAUAGGGGAAAAAAGUAGGGAAAAAAGUGCUGGGAUUAGAGGCAAUGCAUUCAUAUACUGCAGACUAACUGAAAAGAUGCAGUUUGACUCAGAAAGUGACCGAUACAAGACGUCCUGCUCAUGCCUGAUGCACACAUGUGAUCAGCAGAACUUCUAAGUGGUAACUCCCAACUGCUUGGUGAUAUGGUUUCUUCGUUAUUAAAAAGAAACAGUGACAAACAUGCAUGUAAAUAACCCUUUCACAAACAAAUUCAUAUGGAAGAAACUUUAGAGGCUGGCUGGCUGUAGCUGACUGUACCAGUCACAUAUCUGGCAACAGGGAUGGACUAAACAUCUCCAUAAUCGCAGCUCUUCAAUCAAGAGAAUUUAAUUGCAUGUUUUAAGGAAUAAAGCAUCAAUAUAUUUAUGCAUUGUCAUAGUAUAGUAUCUAAAUCUUUGUAAAGGGAGGAACCAACUUGUGUUUACAAGUUGAAAAAAAUAAAACCUCACUCAAGCUUAUUUUAGGCAGCCAUUUGCACUGUGCAAAUGCAGCUCACUUCUCACAUAGCCAUUCUCCUUGGUGCACAGCUCCUCAACACUGUCCAGAAGCUGGCUGCAGUCUGUCCAACAUUUGGAGCAAGCUCCUGGGGCAGCUCCUGCCACUGGCUUUCCCGUACUCCUGCAGCUGGAGAGGGAGGACAUCAUCUGCCCACAGCUGGCAAGGACGGGGUGAAGCUGCCCUGUGCAAUGCAGAGGGCAGCCUCCUGCCACAUUCUGGAGACACAGAGCCUCCUGCACAUCUUGGGCAGCAAAGAAGGUCUUUCUGGUACACCGUUGCCUGCCUGGACAGAGGCAAGGAAGAAGCAAGCUGUGUACUAUCACAAGCCUCUCCUGAUAGCACGCGCACUGCUGACUGUGUGUAGCUCAUGCAGGAGAGAGAGAAUUAUUAGCAUUCAUUUCUUUUUCUUGCCAUUUUUAAUUAAUGUGCAUUUAGAAACAGAUGCAUCCCCUUCUCCCUUACAGUUUCUCAAAAAAAUACUAGCUUCAAAGGAAGCAUAGAAAUGAAGUGUUUGGAAGAAGCUCUCUUGAAUUACCAGGUUGUGGACUUUCAUCCCAAACCAUUAAUAUUAAACUUUUUAUCUGAAGUAUCCACAAGAGAGAAAGGUACAAAUUUUCUCAUGGAGUGAUGUACAAUGCAACACACAACGUAGCACUGCAAGAGAAGAGAAGGCAAUUCUGCUAAAGGACCAGGAGGAUCUGAAAGCUUUUCAGCAUCAAGUGCACAUAGAAGAGAACAGCACUUUCAUGGCUCUACCUACUGUUCAUGUUUCUCCAAAGGCAUGUGAGCGUGACAGGGCAGAUUGAAAUAAUUCAUGACACUCUUAACUGUCAUCCUCUUGAGUGGACAACACCACUGACUGUCAUAAGUAAGCAAACUGCUUUGCCAUGCAGUGAGGGUACGGUUUAAUUUGUGGAAGACAGUAGCUGUCUGGAUUUACAGUUGGUAGGGCUAUGAUGGUGUUAAAACAGAUAAUUUUUCAAAGCAAGUGUUCACUUUAGGACUCCCAAAUUUUCAUCUCACUGUUAACAAGGAUGGGUGUUCUUUGUCUCCAAAGCUGUGACAGUGAUUUCUUCUAGCCCAGAUGCCCUCACAUGAAUACACAA